RNAcentral lists this ribosomal RNA (515 nucleotides) under uncultured bacterium. RNAcentral's name for it is "partial 16S ribosomal RNA". It matches the Rfam family "Bacterial small subunit ribosomal RNA", at positions 28 to 523 of the family's 1533-position model. The record is from RNAcentral.
GAUGAACGCUGGCGGCGUGCCUAAUACAUGCAAGUCGAGCGAAUGGAUUAAGAGCUUGCUCUUAUGAAGUUAGCGGCGGACGGGUGAGUAACACGUGGGUAACCUGCCCAUAAGACUGGGAUAACUCCGGGAAACCGGGGCUAAUACCGGAUAACAUUUUGAACCGCAUGGUUCGAAAUUGAAAGGCGGCUUCGGCUGUCACUUAUGGAUGGACCCGCGUCGCAUUAGCUAGUUGGUGAGGUAACGGCUCACCAAGGCAACGAUGCGUAGCCGACCUGAGAGGGUGAUCGGCCACACUGGGACUGGGACACGGCCCAGACUCCGACGGGAGGCAGCAGUAGGGAAUCUUCCGCAAUGGACGAAAGUCUGACGGAGCAACGCCGCGUGAGUGAUGAAGGCUUUCGGGUCGUAAAACUCUGUUGUUAGGGAAGAACAAGUGCCAGUUGAAUAAGCUGGCACCUUGACGGUACCUAACCAGAAAGCCACGGCUAACUACGUGCCAGCCGCCGCUGUAA